GGAAAUCGGCUUUAUGUUUACUGGUUCGGGAUUUCUAAGGACGAAGAUGAAAGAAUGAAAUAAGGUUUUUGAACAUGUAUGCAUGCUAAUGAAUGCAGAUGUAUGAUUAUGGAAAACUUUUUAUUUUUUUAUUUUUUAGGGAAUAUCGUAGACUUGUUAGUUGUUUAUAAGCAUUCAGAAGCAUGGGAGCAAAACAGAAGAUAAAACCAAAUUGGUGCAAAAGCCAACUUAUUCAUUCAUUCAUUCAUUAGAAGAAGCAAAUGAAAUGUUUGAAAAGAUAAGUACAAGGUCAAUCGGACUACAUUCUUUGCUCUUGAAUUUUUAAGCACUUCUAAGUCAGCCAUAAACUUUUU
Molecule: long non-coding RNA, 353 nt
Filed under: Lathyrus oleraceus (garden pea)
Lineage: Eukaryota; Viridiplantae; Streptophyta; Magnoliopsida; Fabales; Fabaceae
Description: Pisum sativum (pea) long non-coding RNA (PSAT_LNC018023)
Source: RNAcentral